AUGACCCGGCCUCUUUCUUCUCUCUGCAAUGAACUAGGAGGGGAAAUAGGAUCUGUGAGAUGCAGUUUCCUGCUGAGGAAUCUCUCUUCUCUUCCUGAGCCCCACCCCUCUGUAAGUAGUCAGAGACUUAAAGAAGACUUAAGAAGAUCCACGAAGAUUAAGGCAGAGCCUCAAGAAAGUCACAAUCUAAAGGAAGAAUGGCGUGACUCUUGACUUCUGAAUCAGAUAUGAGCUGUACCAUCCUGCUUUCCCAUGGACAGAAACAGUCUGCUCUCUGGCUUCACCUUCUGAAGGCUGCAAUAGAGGAAAGUAAUAAUGAGUCUCUUUUCUGUACCUGCCUCCCUACUCUCUUCCUCCAUCUUUUACCUUCUCCAGCCUCAUCCAUACAUGAAUGCCUAUAACCAAGACAGCAGCUGCCUGAGUGCCUCCAAUUUCUCCAGCUUUUUGGGACCACCUUCCAGUUGACAGUGCAAUAGAAUGGCUUGAAUCUUUUUCUUGGGAAGUCUGGUAUUCCCUCAAUAUCUCCAAGAAUUAUAGAUAGUCUUUUGUUGCUUCUCUAGCUCCAAGUCCUUGCUUUUAGUGAAUUCUUCAUCUUUUCUCCUUGUCUUUCCUCCUGUGUAUACUGUCCAUUUCUGCACAUCAUCUCCCCUACAGGGGCACAGCCCCUUCCUUCUCCUUUAAUUCUCAGACAACCAUACACACAAAGCCAUGACCGCUGGCCGAAUUUUGGGGUACUGGCUUUACUGAGUACCAUUGAUUACAUUGUCGUAUCACAUAACAAAUGGUUUUCACAAAGUCAGAUUAAAAAAUACAGAUAUUAAUGGAGCUUCCUCAUUUUCAUUAGCUCUACUAACCACCAUGUUGUUUUGGGUUUUCCACUUUCUUUCCUUCUUCACAUCUCUUUUUUUCCUCCCCCAGUUGCUUUUCCCUCCCUUGCAGAUUGCCUUUGGAAACAGACUCAGGAGAAGGAAGGGGAGGAACUGAACUGAGCCAACCCCAGUUAUUGUUCUGAAAUUUACCAAUCAUGGGGUACAUUUGGGAAAAAUAACUUCCAAGAAGAGGGAUAAAAACCAACAUGGCACGUGUGUACAUAUGUAUCAAACCUACACAUUGUGCACAUGUACCCUAGAACUUAAAGUAUUUAAAAAAAAAAAAAAAAACAGAGUGGAGAGAGGCCAGGAAAAUUCUUCACUGGGAAACUAUUCUAAACCUGUUGAAAUGUGUUAGUUUGUCAUUGUCUAUUCUCAGCCCAGCCUGACAAGCUUUCAUGUCUAAAUGUAAAACAGUAGCCAAAAGGAGACUGUGAUUUCCAGUGCUUCACUGCUCAGAUAGUUUCAUAAAGUGGAUUCCUUCUGCGCUUUAGCUGCCACUAUCACUCUUUAGAUGUUACGUGUCACAUGCCAGCCAGCAAGCAGCACAAACCUUCACUGUUGGCUUUUGUUUUCAUUUAUUUCAUGACAGCUGUCAUUUAAAAUCAACAUUUAUUGAGCACCUAAUAAUAGGCCUGGGGUAGGAAUGGUGGAAUACACACAUUUGAUUAAGACAUGCUCCCAGCCCUCAAGGGAGUCAUGCUGUAGCAGAAAAUAAAUGUAAGAUUGUGUUAUGUCCUCUAAAUGGCUUUUGCAAAGAUUACCCUGCACUACCUGUGAAGUAGGGAAGGCAGAUGAUGACCUGACUUGAAGAAUGACAAAACAGAAACUCAGAGCUAGGAAGUCACUGGUCUAGACUCUCACAGCUAAGAAAUGAUAGAACCAGAACUAGGACCUGUGGUUUUUGACUUCUGAUCUACUCUCCUUCCUUGUAUCAUAGGUCCACAUUGGGUAUAUCACAUUACCAGAAAGAGAAAAGAAUGUUCCAAACGUUAUUGGAUUGGUGCCACAUAUGGAAGAAACUUACCAGCUCUUGGGAAAAAGAAUAUGUUGUGGUAGGCAGUAGCUUUCCUCUUCAUCUUUUUUCUUAAAAGCCAGUGUCCAAAUGCAUCAGCCUCCAUAAACCACAUUGGGAUGAUUUCCAGGGGAAUUGUACUCCAAGGGGUGUUUAGCUUUUUCAGAUUAGGUAGGGAUAAAUUCUUGUUUUAUUAAAGUUGUUAUCCUAUUCAUGGGUAGAUUUCUAAGCAAAUAUUACUUAUGAGACCUGAAUAAUUGUUGACACCCCAGAGUUCAAUAAACACUUACUGAAGGUACAUAAUUAGGCAAAUUACAUGAUAAAGUCUAUUUCGAUAUAAUUUACUAUUUCUUAAAGCUUAUUUAUCUUCUCCUGGUUAAAGAAAGCACAGUGAGGAAGAUAUGAACCAUGAGUGUACAAAGUCUGUGAGGUGGUGAAAUCCUAGAAAACAGAGAGGAAGAGCAGACAGUAAAUCUAUUUUCAACAUCAUCUGAAUCAGAUUUUCAUAGUGAACUGUCAUUUUCUUUAUGCAAGGCUUUAUACAUUCCGGAACUGCUGUCAGCCAUAUUGAAAUGUAUAUGGACUCUGUCUCCAGAGCCACAAAGCAGAGAAAAGAAGCAAACCUUCAUGGCUGAGCUGCUGAACAAACAGCUCUGGAAGACUGCCUGCUUCUGACUUGCUGCCUUAUUGUUGGGUCAGGUUGAUUUGAGGUUUUUGAGUACUUGUAAAACAAAACAACAAAACGAAACAAAUACAUUUACCAUUUUAAUUGUCUCUUUUACUUUACUCUUUCAUUAGCACAAACAAUUGAGCGUUGGACUAUUCUGAGAUUUCUGUCUCUGAUAGUGUCAAAGUUCUUCUGUAGGACUGUACACAGAUUAUCCAAACAUGUGUAGGUCUUUGCUAUGAUCACAGAAAAAUAUAUGACGGUUGUGUGUGAGUUGGUGGGAAAAAAAUUCAUGGUGAUUUAUGUAAAUUAAUCAGCCCCUAGCAUGGUUCCUGGCUUGGAUGCUUGAUAGUAGUUGUUGACUAUAGAUAAAUACUUAUUGACUAUUGGGCUAUAGACCUCUGAUAAAUGUAGAAUAAAUUCUUAUCUCUCUCUUGAAACCAUCACUAUGAUAUUAAACACUUGUCUGCAUAUGCUUUGUGUGUCUUAAAUAUGUCUUGUCAUAUUACUCAGUAUUGUUUGAUAAAUAAUUAGGAUUGUUUGAGAAUAAUAAUAAUCAUUACCAUCUAUUGUUUUGUAGGUGUUAGGAU
Macaca mulatta (Rhesus monkey) is the source of this 3141-nucleotide long non-coding RNA. The record is from Ensembl. Lineage: Eukaryota; Metazoa; Chordata; Mammalia; Primates; Cercopithecidae.